Molecule: long non-coding RNA, 846 nt
Organism: Homo sapiens (human)
Lineage: Eukaryota; Metazoa; Chordata; Mammalia; Primates; Hominidae
Product: long intergenic non-protein coding RNA 2005
Source: Ensembl
GGACUUUGUCAAGAUCAUCUGAUGAUAUACACAACCUGGAUACCCCAUGGUUCUCCUACCACCAGAUGCUACUGAGGCUAAACUGACUGGACUGAGGAAAAAUAUCUGUGGGGAAAACUUUCUUUCAGAAUCCAACUUUGAACCAGAGAAAUCCAUUCUCUUGAAGCUGUCUGCUGUGGAGAAGUUGGCCUUACCAAUCUGCCUUUGAAGUUCAAGUUAUACAGGAUCUGCGAGGCUACCUGUGAAUGAAUGGUUGGUUGGUCACUACUUGCAAGUUUUUCAGGAGCUCCUGAAAGAUUACUGCAUAAAUAAGGGAAGAUGGAGACCAGACCUCUGGCUACUGUUGCUGCCACCACUACAGAUACCACCUUCACCCUUAUGAACCCCCUAUUUACUGAACAUUCUCUAUAUGCCAGAUGCAAAAUUGGCUACCACAUUGGAAACUGAUAUUGAAUUUCUCAACGAGUCCAACAGAGUCAGUUUUCCUCCAACACUGAAACAGACCUUGCUUUCUUCAGUUGAGCAACAACUAAAGAUUAUGGACCCAGCUCGUGUGGAGGUGCCAUAUUGCAUAAACAGUGCAUACAGUGAGCCCUCGCAUUCACACUCAGCAUGAUGUGAUUACGACAGUAUGUAUUUCCAUAGGGACUAAAUCAUGCUUAGGCAGAGCAGUUUUACAUCUUUCUCAUGCCCAUUCACUUUAGGGCAUGUGUUUGUUGGGUGGCAUUGUCAGCAUUGUUUAAUUAUUUACCUCUUUUGCAUUAUUUAAAUUGGUUGUCUCUUUGCUUUAUUUUUCUUUUAUAGGAGAAGUGACGAUAUUUAAUAAAAUUUAAUGUGAUGGUGCAA